This 460-nucleotide ribosomal RNA is filed under the name uncultured bacterium. RNAcentral describes it as "partial 16S ribosomal RNA". It matches the Rfam family "Bacterial small subunit ribosomal RNA", at positions 338 to 795 of the family's 1533-position model. The record is from RNAcentral.
CCUACGUGAGGCUGCAGUGCGGAAUAUUGGUCAAUGGGCGCGAGCCUGAACCAGCCAAGUAGCGUGAAGGAUGACUUCCCUACGGGUUGUAAACUUCUUUUAUAAAGGACUAAAGUGAGGCACGUGUGCCUUUUUGUAUGUACUUUAUGAAUAAGGAUCGGCUAACUCCGUGCCAGCAGCCGCGGUAAUACGGAGGCUCCGAGCGUUAUCCGGAUUUAUUGGGUUUAAAGGGAGCGUAGAUGGGUUGUUAAGUCAGUUGUGAAAGUUUGCGGCUCAACCGUAAAAUUGCAAUUGAUACUGGCAGUCUUGAGUACAGUUGAGGUAGGCGGAAUUCGUGGUGUAGCGGUGAAAUGCUUAGAUAUCACGAAGAACUCCGAUUGCGAAGGCAGCUUACUAAACUGCCACUGACAUUGAUGCUCGAAAGUGUGGGUAUCAAACAGGAUUAGAUACCCUUGUAGUC